UACGUAGGGUGCAAGCGUUAAUCGGAAUUACUGGGCGUAAAGCGUGCGCAGGCGGUGAUGUAAGACAGAUGUGAAAUCCCCGGGCUCAACCUGGGAACUGCAUUUGUGACUGCAUCGCUGGAGUGCGGCAGAGGGGGAUGGAAUUCCGCGUGUAGCAGUGAAAUGCGUAGAUAUGCGGAGGAACACCGAUGGCGAAGGCAAGCCCCUGGGCCUGCACUGACGCUCAUGCACGAAAGCGUGGGGAGCAAACAGG
RNAcentral lists this ribosomal RNA (253 nucleotides) under uncultured bacterium. RNAcentral's name for it is "partial 16S ribosomal RNA". It matches the Rfam family "Bacterial small subunit ribosomal RNA", at positions 524 to 776 of the family's 1533-position model. The record is from RNAcentral.